GAUCCUAAGGGAAAACAGCAAAUGAAGAAACAUCUGUCUAAGAGAAGCUAUAAAAAUUCAGUAAGAGAAACAAGUCUGUGGUAUUUGAACCACUACAGCUUCUUUCUUUCCCCCUCCCAGAUCCGUAAGGCAGAGAUUCUACUUCAGACUGCUGCAGCCAAGAACAUAGGGCUCCCUCUCCCCUCUGGCUUCCAGCCAGAAGACUUUCUUCCCAGGAGAGACAGCACUUCAGCAUCAUUCAUACUGACACCAGCUACUUUUUUUCUGAGGCUAAGUAUCAGGGUGACCAUCUUGCCCAGAGACCAUGUGUGGAAACUCCUAGUCAGAAGUUGGAUUAAAGAUGACAGGAUCCAUCUAAAGACAAAUGUAAGCCUUGCCAGUUUAAUAUUAAGUGCUAAGCAGAGUAGUUAAUGUCUAUGUCUUGUCACACAUAUUUUACUCUGGCCAGAACAGAAAAAGAUAAUCUUCCUUUGUGUUGUGGCCAGACCCUGAGGCUAUGGUACAGUGAGCUGGGUUACUAGGGCCACUUAGGGAAAGGGAACCCAAAAGCCUGGCAUGCUGGCAAAAGGGUAAGAAUUUCUUACCAGUCAGACUUCUGGCCUCUCUCUCUCUCUGCAAACUGGUUGAAUGAAUAGUAAAAAAUCACUGUUUAUCUCUUGUAAAGUUUUAAUUAAUCAGAGAAAGGACUUGUAAGGCUAGUCUUAAGCUAUAGCAAAUUUGGUGUGCUUUGUGUGUCUUUCUGUAUUUUCUGUCAUAAUGAGGGGUACCCUAAGAUAGAACACAGUCUUAGGAUACCUGUAAGCCCAGUGCUCAAGACAUACCAGCAGACUGAUCAGUUAUAAACUUUGCUGCAGGUCCUUGAAAAAAAAAACUAGAUAAGGUUUCCCUCUUGACUCGCAUGUCCUUGGGAGCUUGAGCUUGUAACCAUGUGGCCAUGCUUUCUCUUUUCACAAUGGCGGCCUGGGUUCAGGGUUCAAUUUUUGGCUUGGAAAAUGAGUCCUUUAACUUCUAUGUAUUUAUAUGUAUUAUGUGUGUGAUGUUUAUAUAUAAAAGAGCUUUGAAUAAUUGGUUUUAAAAUAAUAAAAGCUUAAAUCACAUAUUUUGUCAGAAAAGUAAAAAGUGUAAUGCCUUUUAGUUCAUGUGACUUAAGUAAUCUUUGGGAAAUAAAGACGGUUUUUAAAAUUAUUGGUAAAAUGGAAAUGUCAAAUAGGGCAAAUGUCAAGCUGUAACCAAUCCAGCCGUUCUGUAUCUCACUUCCAACUUCUGUAUGUCAUUUCCUGUUUUUGUCUAAAAUUUUCCAUGUGGCUGCACUGGAAUCUCUGUGAAUCUGCUGUCAUUUUAGGGGCUGACCAAUUUGCGAAUCGUCCAUCGCUCAAUUAAACUCCUUUAAAUUUAA
Long non-coding RNA from Callithrix jacchus (white-tufted-ear marmoset), 1396 nucleotides. RefSeq lists it as uncharacterized. The record is from RefSeq and is a predicted model, not a curated record. Lineage: Eukaryota; Metazoa; Chordata; Mammalia; Primates; Cebidae.